Molecule: ribosomal RNA, 722 nt
Filed under: uncultured archaeon
Lineage: Archaea
Description: bacterial SSU rRNA
Rfam family: Archaeal small subunit ribosomal RNA
Source: RNAcentral
CCCGACUGCUAUCAGAAUAGGACUAAGCCAUGCGAGUCAACGUAGCAAUACGUGGCAUACGGCUCAGUAACACGUAGUCAACAUGCCCAGGGGACGUGGAUAACCUCGGGAAACUGAGGAUAAACCGCGAUAGGUCAUAAUAUCUGGAAUGAUUUCUGGCUGAAAUCUAUAUGGCCCCUGGAUUGGACUGCGGCCGAUCAGGCUGUUGGUGAGGUAAUGGCCCACCAAACCUAAAACCGGUACGGGCUCUGAGAGGAGAAGCCCGGAGAUGGGCACUGAGACAAGGGCCCAGGCCCUAUGGGGCGCAGCAGGCGCGAAAACUCUGCAAUAAGCGAAAGCUUGACAGGGUUAUUCUGAGUGAUUUCCGCUAAGGAAAUCUUUUGGCACCUCUAAAAAUGGUGCAGAAUAAGGGGUGGGCAAGCCUGGUGUCAGCCGCCGCGGUAAUACCAGCACCCCGAGUGGUCGGGACGAUUAUUGGGCCUAAAGCAUCCGUAGCCGGUUCUACAAGUCUUCCGUUAAAUCCACCUGCUUAACAGAUGGGCUGCGGAGGAUACUAUGGAGCUAGGAGGCGGGAGAGGCAAGCGGUACUUAGUGGGUAGGGGUAAAAUCCGUUGAUCCAUUGAAGACCACCAGUGGCGAAGGCGGCUUGCCAGAACGCACUCGACGGUGAGGGAUGAAAGCUGGGGGAGCAAACCGGAUUAGAUACCCGGGUAGUCCCAGCU